UUCCCUGGUAGCUCAGCUGAUAAAGAAUCUGCUUGCAAUUCAGGAGACCCUGGUUUGCUUCCUCGGUCAGGAAAAUCCAAUGGAGAAGGGACAGAUUACCCACUCCAUAGGCUACCCACUCCA
Long non-coding RNA from Cervus elaphus (red deer), 123 nucleotides. RefSeq lists it as uncharacterized. The transcript is spliced from 3 exons. The record is from RefSeq and is a predicted model, not a curated record. Lineage: Eukaryota; Metazoa; Chordata; Mammalia; Artiodactyla; Cervidae.